RNAcentral lists this ribosomal RNA (253 nucleotides) under uncultured bacterium. RNAcentral describes it as "partial 16S ribosomal RNA". It matches the Rfam family "Bacterial small subunit ribosomal RNA", at positions 100 to 353 of the family's 1533-position model. The record is from RNAcentral.
CGGGGUGAGUAACGCGUGGGUAACCUGCCUCAUACAGGGGGAUAACAGUUAGAAAUGGCUGCUAAUACCGCAUAAGCGCACAGCUUCGCAUGGAGCAGUGUGAAAAACUCCGGUGGUAUGAGAUGGACCCGCGUCUGAUUAGCUUGUUGGUGGGGUAACGGCCUACCAAGGCAACGAUCAGUAGCCGACUUGAGAGAGUGAUCGGCCACAUUGGGACUGAGACACGGCCCAAACUCCUACGGGAGGCAGCAUG